This 918-nucleotide ribosomal RNA is filed under the name Triticum aestivum (bread wheat). RNAcentral's name for it is "partial small subunit ribosomal RNA". Lineage: Eukaryota; Viridiplantae; Streptophyta; Magnoliopsida; Poales; Poaceae. The record is from RNAcentral.
AUGGUAGUUCAAGUGAAGCAAAAUGAGCAGGAUCUAAAGAGAGAUUUCAAAGCUGUAAAAGACUUAAUAUCUGAAAGUGGUUUUGGAUGGGAUCGUGACAGAAAGAUGGUGGUGGUGCCCGAUAAUGUUUGGGCUGCACUAGAGGCACGUAAAAACAAGGAUGCACUCUUCUGGCGAGGAAAGUCAUUUCCAUAUUAUGAAGAUCUUUUUGCUCUAUAUGAUGGACGCUAUGCUCAGGGAAGGAGUUGCCAUGGCAUGGAUUAUUAUGCGAACAAAGCAACUCAGCUCUCACAGUUACCAACAUCACAUUCACCACAACAGCAAGGGCUAGAGGCGCAUCUGCACACACCUACACCAACCAUACAUGCUCCUGGUGAUUCAUCCAUGCAAUUUGACAUUGAAGAGGAUAGUGAAAACACAAACAGGUUUUCUAGCAAUAAUACAUUCAGUCAAGUGGAGGCAAACCCGACUCAAGGAAAUGACUUGACAUUACAUGCUCCAUCCCAAGUUGAAACAGUACCAAUUUCCUCACAGCGCGUUGGACAGACUUUGCAUGAAAUUCCACAAGUUGUACAUCGCAAUCCUCGACCAGCUAGCUCAGCUCCUGAGGUUACUAGCACCAAGAGAGCGAGAAAGCAAAAGAUGACCAGUAUUGACAAUUUUCAUGAGAGAUACCUGAAACUGAGAAGGGAAGAAAUAGAUAGGUAUGCAGCCAUUGAGGAGAGGAAAUUAAGGGACCCGUUCAGCAUCAAGAAAUGCAUCAAAGCACUGGAAAGGUUGGAGGGUCUUUCGAUGGCAGAUAUGCUAAAAGCAGCGGACAUCUUUACUGCCAACAAGGAGAACAGGGAGGUAUUUCUAUCAUUUUCAAGUAACGAAUUACGGUUGGGUUGGUUGACUGAAAAAAUUCGGAAUACCUAA